This is a long non-coding RNA of Panthera uncia (snow leopard), 14832 nucleotides long. RefSeq lists it as uncharacterized. Lineage: Eukaryota; Metazoa; Chordata; Mammalia; Carnivora; Felidae. The record is from RefSeq and is a predicted model, not a curated record. The transcript has 3 exons.
GCCGCCAUUUGCUCUAAUUACCCCGUGCGAACUGGAACUGGUAGCUGUCAGGCCUCGAUUGAAGCUUCGGGAAGGUUAGUGCCGGCUGCACGCAGUAACGUGUCUGCGAGCAAAUGCACAUACCGCAGCCACCAUUUGGAAGCACGCUCUUUUGUAUUUAACGUGUUGCAGAGUAUUUCAUGAUAGGGUUUGGACGGAUGCUGCUGUGAGUUCACAUUCACUUUUUGCAUCAUUUCCAGCAGACAAACAGAAGUGCUUUCAGCUAAAUCCCGAGUCCCUCUAUGUAAGUGGGUUUCUGGGUUCUGUAGAACUGAGCAUUUGGAGGUGGGAACUUAGAAACGUUAUCGUUUUAGACAAGUGUUUUGAGACAUCCUUCUAAUAAAGAUUUAUACAUGUGUACAUAUAUCCUUUUUGAACUGUUAAUAUGUAGCUUUUUUUUGAUCUAUGAAUUUCAAUUUAUACAUUAGUGUUUUUACAUCCGAUUUAUACAUUAGGUUUUUCUAGAUCUGUGAAUUCCGGUGUAUACAUUAUGCAGUUUGUUCAUGUUAGAAUGUUUACUUUCUCUUUCCUUUUUGAUUGGAAGGAUUGAGUUUUCUAUAAUAAUAUUUAAUCUUCAUGAAAUUUAGGUCUUUUAAAAAGCAUUGAGACAAGCGUGUUUUCUGUAUCACGGUGAUGAAUAUCAGUUUGCAAAUUUAUUUGGAUCGUACGCAAGUCUAUUUUCGUGGGUGAAUAACGACAGUGUUUGAUUUGACAGUUAACUACAUAUGGCACUUGGUAGGCUACCCCUGAGUCUGUCCCAGAUUGGUUCUUUAUUCACAUGGAUCACAAUCUGAAUUGGACAAAAAUUCUAGGUAGAGCCCAAACAGAAGGUGUUUAUUCCUUUACUACCCUGUAGGGAGCAUCUAGCUUGAGUCCUUUGAGAGCCAUGGCCGUGUGAAUAUGCUUACGUGUAUUGAUUUACUCACACUGAGAAACAUUUCAGUAUUGCUAGAUGUUGAUCGUCGAUAGUAGACAUUUGUUGCUUUCAGCUGUUUGGUAUCCAUUCCCCUUCCUGAAAACACCCCAGUUUCCAGUAGAACAUUGGGCAUGUUUGCACUAAGGAGGGAGCCAGAGGGUGCUCGCUCCCCCUCCCCCCCCUUCCCUGCCCCCCCCCUCCAUAGGAACCUUGAACUCCAGGGUGCGGCAGCGGGGGGAGGCUCUUCCUCAGGACUCUCCAGGGACCGGUAGAGGCACCCCCCCCCCCUCACCCCAGCAUGGGUCUGACUAUGUCAUUGCUGGUUGUGUUUGCCUGGUGACUGCCUGUCACCUUCCAGAGUCCUCGUUGAUUCUCUGAGAUUCUUCCAGAAAUCCCCCCUGUUCUUGUGCUAAUCAGAGUCCAUUUUAGUUGCUUAUCACCUUCAUGAGAACAUGGCUUGGCUAAUGAAGCAUAACCUUUACUAGGCUGAAGUGAAAUUUUAUUUUUAGUGGAAGUGUCCUUGUGGCUCCUACGGCUUGUGGCUCAGAUCCCUUCCACUUGCCCGUGGGCCCCGCCCGACAGACACUUGGUUUCCCUUGUAAUUUAGUGUUUAAAGAUAUGGUUUGGACAGGUCUGGAGAGCAGACCUGAAAGGCAUUUGUUUGCUGACUUGUAUGUAAACUCUUAGGAACUCUUCCCAGUGCCCCAGUAUUUAAAGCCAGAUAGUUGUUGGAUGGUGUGUGUUGUGAAGGGGCUGCUGAAAUCAAGUGUUCCCUCCACCUAAUUUCUGUAUAAUGUAAUUGAAAAAAUAAGUACAAUAAAUACUUUAUUUUCCCUCUUGUAAUUAUAAGUGACAGUUUUAGGGCUAAACCUGUAAGGUGACUGAACCGGAAGCAUGACAUUUUAAUAUUCAUCACAUAGAAUAAAAUAUACUGUUAUCAUUGAAGGCGUUGGUGUCCAACUAAAACUAAGGUAUUGCUGGAAGAAUUGUGUGUUGAAAAGAAACGGAGUGUUUUUUGCAGUCGUUAUGAACGAGUGGAAUGGAAGCUGUGUUUCUGUUUAGCUCUGUCACUGCGCGGUUUAGUACCAGGUCACCGUCCGACUGUCUCACAGCCCUCUGCAUUCGGCCGUCUGGGCAGAUAGCCACUCCGCUGGCCAAGCCGUCUCUUACGAAGGGGCUCGGGGGAAUAGUUUCUCAGACAUUCGGGAAGAGUGUAUUGUCUGAGUCCUGUCACCUCUAAGGUGACCCGGGUGGAAGAACGCCCAGGGGAGCGUCUCCUGUCACGGUCCGUCUUAUUCCCAGGCGUAGCUGUUGGAUUAUGCGCGGUGUCUUUGGAUAUAGUUAGACUCCUCGCCACUGAGCGAGUGUGGAGUUUUCACAAGACCUAGAAUGCAGCAGUGCCUGCGCUGGAGAGGCGCCCCGGCCUUCAAAAGAAGACUGUGACCUGGUGGCAACGGGUAUAAUUGCAUAAAAAUAGAAGCUUGGGGUUUUACAACAGUCCGCGUAUGAAGUGUCCCAUUCUCAGCGUGAACGUGUACGUGUGGGCUCUUUGCACAUUCGUGACGUUUGCAGACACUUCAAGUUUUGCACCCUUCCCAGUGCAGGAGUGAAUUAAGUCGGUGAGUUGACUGUAAGCAAAGAGGAUGUUUUCAUUAUCGAACUGUUACACGGGAUGGAGAGGCUUGUGGAUCGUGCUGGAGCCCCACUUAAUUCAAACCUUGGAGAAGUAGUGUGUGCUGUCUAAGAGAAAGAAACCGUGCUCUGCAUGAGGAAACCCUGAUGGUGAUAUUGUUAAGGGGAGGUUGGCUCCGUUGGUUUCUGGUCUGAUCCUCAUCCUACCUUCCUGGAGGGCGUCCUCAGAGUCAGCUGGCGUCGAUGUCUGAAAACCAGGACGGCGUGUCGCUGAAGCUGGGGGACGGCGGGACCGACCUGUGAGUCCAGGAUCAGGGCUUCUGGGCAGGAGUGUGGUAUUUGGGUGGAGGGGACAGAACCAGCCAUUACCACACUGCUGUCCUUCUAGGGCAGUGGCCCGAGGAGGAGGAGGGGAGCCUCCAGAGUAGGGAAGAGAGCAGGAAGGGGAGGUGGAGACAUUCACUUGCCUCUUCUCUGUGAACCAGUGUGAGACACAGGCUUGUUUGGGCACCAACUGGAAGUUGAAGGUGCUGAUCUCUUUAGUUUCAGCCACGACCAAGGAGGGAGGGUACACAUGCCCACCGGUAGCUUCUCAUCCACUCUCCGCUUGGGGAGCACUGCGGGGGCAAGUAGGUGAGGCCCAAAGGAAUUGGAAAAUGCAAGCAGCUGAAAGCACACAUAUGAAAACCUUGGAUUAUUCUCCUUGCCUAUUACGGCCAUCAAACAAGAACCAGACGCCACGCAAAGGGAACAGGUGAAUGGUCAAGGCAGGAGACCGGCUGCAUGCUGCACUGCGAAAGUUUGGGCGUAAACGGGACUGGGCUUAAGUCAUUUACUAACUGUGGCAGGUUACUCAUGAUGGCCAGCUACUUAGGUCUCUGAGCUUUCCUUUCUUUGUAAAAUGAGAGUGAUGAUAAUAUCCAUAUGCAAAGCUGUUGCAAAGGUUAUUAUCUUUGCCACCUUUUAACAACGGCUUUGUAAACUGUGAAGUACCAGAUAAGUGUUCCUUUCUCCGUGGAGUUUUACAUCUGUAAGCUGGCGAACCUUCCUAGUGUUUGCAUUACUGAAUCUAGGUCUUGGUGAUGCGUAGGUGGGUUAAGCUGACACUUCCUGUUCUGCUCUCAGGACUUAGAGUCGAGAGACCAGGAUGAUGGGGCUGGAAAUCUAGUUUUGCUCCUGACCAGCAUUGUGUUUCUCAAACUUCCCACCAAAGCACACCUAAAAAGGAACACGUGCGCAUAGGGUGUUCAAGCAGUCUGCCACAGGCUCAUGGUUUUUCUAAAAUCACAUUUUAUUUUACAAUCUGUGAAGUUUGCAGUCUAGCCUAAGCAAUAUUUAUAUUAAGUUGCAUAUACCUUUUAAGUUACCUAUCAGUAAGAUGUUAAAAAGAGGGAGGGGGUUCUGGCGAUUGCUGUUAACUUGGUGGACAAGAUGGGGUUGCCCUAGCCGGUGACUUCAUGUGCCUCUAGACCUAUGAGCACAUACACCUGAUUCCUGGGCCGCUCUUACUUGUUACAGAAGAGGAUUGACUGUGUCCUGUGUCCCCUUCUGGGCAGUUUUUCUGUGAGAGCCCAUGUAACAGAUACUGCAAGGAACUCUUGACCUGAUUACAAAAUCAAAUUAUACAACACACUCAUUCUUACAAAGCAGUUUCUACGUAUUGUGUAAUUCUCAUCCUUAUAGGUCGGUCACAGAGGACUUUGCUCAAUAGAGUUUAUUGUUGUAGAGGCCACAAGUUAUCAAAUGUUACUUGCUUAAAAUAUUCUGGAAAGUUAGUCAUUAGCACAUGACAUUUCAUUACGGUGUCCUAUUUUUGUGUGUCAUUGUAACUUUCCAUUAUAAGCUUAAAAAUGAUGAAGGCUUCCGGUCAAGAAGGUAGGCUAGGCACUGAGCACUGUUAAUUGCUCUCUGUCCAUUUUAAAGCCUCAUCAGAAUGAAAGCACAGAAUGUUUAAAAACAAAAAGAGACGAAAGGUACAACCAUCCGCCAAUAAAUAGCAAACCAAAGGGAGAGAGGUCAUCAGCCAACGAGAUUCAACAAAGUUUUUGGGGUUUGGGAGAUGAGACGGGUUGCAAAGCGCUAGCCUGUGUGUAUUGCCAGGGGGCCUGUGCAGAUGCGGGAGGCAUUGUCCCCUGCAGGGGCUCAGAGUCAGCAGCUGUUUUAGAGCUUAGAAACUUAGACAUGAGGUUUCCCAAAACGAGGUACAGUCGAAGGGCCGGGUGUACAAUUGUCGCCCACCCCAGUCCCCCACACCCCACCCUCCCACCGCAGGUGUGCGCACUCCUGGAGGCAGAGGCCGCUGGUGUGCAAGGUCAGGCAAAAUGGGCAAAAGCCGAUUCUUCCAUAGAUAGGAAACUAACUUCAGAAAAUAGGACUUCUGAUGGGGAGUUUGGUUCCACUGCAAAGCCCUCCUCCUUCUUUGGGGUCUGCUGCUCACCAAUCAGGUUCUUUUCUGCCUAUGCCAAGUAAAGCCUAUCUUGGUCACACAUAAGCUCAGAAUUUCCAGUCAGAGAAGAGGCCUUCCUAAAAUACCCAGUGACGCAAGAGUGGAGGAGAGCGACUCCCGUUCUCCUGUGUUCCCGUCUCUAGUGAACAUACAGACCCACGGGUCAUCGAGUGUAUGACACUUGACACAUGAAAGAAAAAGGUGGGCCUUAAGGAGAAUGGCUAAUGCAGAAGCAAUGAUAUUACAUAAAAGGGCUAUUAGAUUCAUUUUUAAAAAGAAUUGCUGAAAUGGAAAUGUCAGUAAAAAAAAUAUGAGGGAAUAAAGUGAAGUAAUCUUCCCAAAAAUGGAGAGCCAAGACCAACAAAAUGCAAGAACAGAGACAUGAGAAAUGAACCUGUGAGGUUUGGUAUUUGGCUUAAUAGAAGUUAGAGAAAAAGAAAGAGAGGAAAUUAUCAAAAAAGUAAAGGAAGAUAAUUUCCAGAGGCAGGAGAGGUAUGUGUCUCUGUAUUAAAGGGACCCACCGAGAUCCAGCAUGAUUAAUAAAAACAAGACACCCGUGGGUAUGUUUUUGUGAAAUUUCAGUGCUUUAAGGAGGAAGGUAAGAUUGCAAAAAUGUUCAGAGAGGAAGAAAGACAAGUUCUCCAUGUGUGAAGGAACGUCAGACUGGCGUCAAAGUGUUCAUCAGUGGUACUGGAUGCCCUAGGUAUUGCCCACGGGAUCCGAAGGUAAACCGACUCAGUUCAGUAUCUGACAAACUACUGUUUGUUGUGACAGCAGAAUAAAGACAUACUGAGAUGUACGAGGACUAGAUAAGGUAGCUUCCCAAGGACCCUUCUUGAGAAGAUGGUUGAGUGUGCACCCCAGCAAAACGGGAGAGUAUCCAAGAAAGACAGCCUUGGCCCUCAGGACACGGAGUAACCAACCUACCUGAGCAGCCAGUGCAAGAGCACCGGCUGUGAACCAGGUCCAGACGACAGCGUCCGAAGUGGAGCUGGGGCACAAGGCUUCUGAGGGCCCCCCCAGCCCUGCCUUCCGAGACUUAGGAAGAAUUCCAGUUGGGGCCUGUCAGAAGAAAGGCCAUGGUUUUAAGUGAUCAGUGGGAAAAGUAGGUCCCCUCAGUCCUAAAACUAGAAUUUUUUUAUUCUUGGAGUGGUCAGGAGGUCACGCCGUUGCAUUUGUUUGUAAAGAAUUCAAUGUAAUUUUGACGCACCCCUUUGCUUGGCAUUAAAUGAUACGUAUAUAUUGUAAUGUAGAUGCUGGUUGUGGAUUGUCAACAUUUAGAACAAGUCUGCGACACGGAAGGUUUGGGUGCUGUUUACUUCCAGGUAUGAAUGGUUACCGUCUUCACACUAUUAGAGGAAAAGUGUGGCGACUCCAGCAUCCAGAGCCGGCUUGUCAGAACGGGAAUUUGUAUUCCGUUUACUUAAAAUCGCAGUUAGUAUUAGAAGGGCUCAAAAUUGAGAGUCAUAGUUGAAGGUCGGUGAAGAUGAGUUAAAUUCUGAUUUUUAAAUCUAGGAAAAUCAGUAGACGUUAUGUAAGGUUAUUCAACCUGGAAACCUAAAUAUGUUCAUUUUUUUGAGUUGUAGAGAUAACUGUCAGAGGAACAAAAAACGGUCAAAUUUUUUUCUGGAGAAUGGGACUCAGGGUGGGCAGGAAGGGUGGAAACACAUAAAUUCUUUUGUGUUAGAUUUGUUCUACAUGUGCAUAUUUUGAGAAAACAAAACAUUUAAAAAUAUUUCCCAAUUUAGUGUUUCACUAAUCCAGACCUGUAGUGAAGUUUUACCAAAGAGACUAAACCGUUUAAGUAAUUGACUGAAUUAGUGUGACAGUGACCUUAGCAAACAAAGUAAUAUGAAACUUUCGCUUUGCUCCUGGCUUUUUAAACUGAGUCAUCACUUUGGACCACAACAACAGCAACAACAACACAUUGAGUGAGUAACUCUUGUUUCCAUUACUAACCCUAACAGUUUUUCCCCCUGAAAACAUUUGUGCUUCUGUAACUGUCAGUUGUGCGGAUAGCGUAUAAGCAAAUUCAGCCUACUUUUAUUGUAAUAGAUUCGAAUUUCAGCCCAGAAUCCGGUAGACUGAGUACGCCGAUGACAAAUAAUAUCCUGUUUGGUAAGCAAGGUGUUGGGAGUGAGGAUGGGCCACAAGGUCCUUUCCAGGUUGACUCAAAAGGGAAGAUGUGUUUGCAGUCCUGGUGCUGUUCGUUCUCCAUUCCGAAGAUAAACCUACGUCACGUUAACUAGAAAGAACAUGUGGAUAACCUCAAAACGUAGACACACUGUGCAGAAACAUCAGCACAACCAAAGGGCCUCCAAGCACUCAGGAAAGACAUCUGUUGCCAUGGCUGUACAUUUCUUAUGUUCCCUUACUUGGGAUUGAUGAGUCCCACUUGUCCCUCCCCAAGCAGAGUUCUCGUCGGGGCCUUCUUACUUUGUGACUCUUUCCAAAAGCUGGAUGUAUUCCCUCAUCCUGGCCCAAACAACUUCUUAUGCACAAAAUAGGCAGCUGGCCCGCAGGCCACGGUUUGCCAGUCUUUGUUACAGUAAUUAAGAACAUGGACUCUGGAACUGGACUACCUAGAUUUGAAUCUUAGCUUCCCCACUAAUUGUGGGACUCAGUUUUGUCAUCAUUAGCCGAAGCUCGUGGAAGUACCAACACCACACUGUUUUGUGAGAGUUAAACGACGUAACAUAUGUAAGGUGGUUCAGAACAGUGCCUGGGCCAUGCACCUGCCCUUUACGUUUGGCUGGUAUUUGAAAUAGGGCACGAGUGGCUGUUAAGUUGACUCUCAUGUGCUGACUUACCGUGGUGAGAGUCCUGGAGGCCACCUCUAUGUUCGCUGGAAAUAAUACUGUCUAAUUAACUGUGUUUGAGGGGAAAAAGACCAUGGCAACCAGCCCAGGUCUUUGCUACUUCUUGUAAAUGACCCUUCUAUCCUCAAGUAACCUCUCCGUGAUUAGGAAUAUAAUGCUCUGUUAAAAUGUUGCUUUUGGGAAGUAGAUUCAACGCAAAUUGUCUCAGGUUACACUAAAUUUUAUAGGAACGUGACUAAUACAAAUUUAAGGCUGGCAGGCAAUCAGUAUACGAAGUACCCUUUAAAGAUAUUUCAGGUAACUGUGAUGUAUUUUGAUAACAUUUUGCAAAAAAAUAUAUUUAGAGAACUAAGGAGUACGUUGAAAAGUAUGAACCCAGUGGAAUAUAAGCCGGACAUGCUUGUAUUUCUCUUUACUUUUGGCCUUACUGAGCUUUUUAAAAUCUUCUUUUCCAUCUGCUAAUGAAUUCUCGAUUGAUUCAGUAACUUUCUAGUCACUUUUUGUUUCUUAUAAGAGAAAGACUCCUCUCAGUUUAGCUCAGUUCAAAGCUUCAGUCGUAUGUCCAGUUCAGAGUGUAUCCUUGUUCUGUUUCUAGCCACAGUGGGAGUAACAGAGACCAGAUUUCCUUAAAUAAACCACCUUAAAUAAACUAGAAACUUGGGCAGAUAGAUGAAACAACUGGAUAUAGAUAGUACACUAUCACUAUAGAUUGUGAUCCUGAGAUAAAACAGUCAAGGAAAGCCCUAAAAUCACCGCAGCUUUCUUCCUAGAGGCAUUUUCUAGACUCCAAGAAGUAAAACCCAAGCAGUCUGAAAUGGUCUUAUGGGAAGCUGAAAUGGAUUAAGCAUGUGGGGAACAGUACAGGAGAGGAAGUGAUUACACAGAAGAAUAACUUCAGAAACGGGUGACCUUGAGUUUGUUGCUGAAUACUAGGAUGUGCUUUCAUAGGCCAGAUGGAGAAUGACCAGGUAACUGGUCUAAUUAACUAAUUAAGAAGAAUAAUUCCCAGACUUCAUAAAGAGAGACUGGAAAAGUUCCAAAUUCUGAGAGGCUUUGUAGGACACACUCUGAAUUAAGUGGAUAUCUGGAAGGAUUAUGCUGUAGGAGGGCCAAACUAGCCGUAAAAUAACAAGUUUUCUACACCUGCCCUAACAGAGCUUAAAAACAAACCUUGCAAAGACCCACCAGUUUUGCAAAGAACUUAAUUGCCUGUGGUACAAAGCCCAAUAUGCUUUAAAGGAAAACAACAAAAUGUGGGACACAACUUAGUCAAAUAAUGUCUAGCAACCAAUCAAAUAUUAGUAGACACAAUGAAACAGAAAAAAAUGUGAUGCAGGAGAAUAAGCAGUGAACAGAAAGAAACAGAUUACAACAGAGGUGAUGGAAUUUGCAGAAAAGGACUUCAAAACACUUGAUUGUAUUGGUCCUUAAGGAUUUAAAAGAAAAAUGAGCAUAAUGAGAGAAUUGCAAGGUAUAAAACAGAACCAUGUAGAACUUCAAGGGCUACGUAUUACAGUCUCUGAAAUGAAAAAAAAAAAUGGCAGAAUUAAUAGCAGAGUAGAUAUUACAGAAGAAAAGUUAGUGAAUUUGAAGACACAGAAGUAGAAAAUCAAAACCAACGCACACAAAGAAAUGAAAAGUGUAGGAGCACCUGGCUGGCUCAAUCCGUGGAGUAUGCAACUCUUGAUCUCAGAGUCAUGAGUUCAAGCCCGAUGCUGGGUGUAGAGAUUGCAUAAAUAAAUAAAACUUUAAAAAAUGGUUUUUUUUAAGGUUUAAGAAAAUGAAUAGAACCUCAGUGUCCUGUGGAGUAGUAUCAGGUGGUCUAAUAGAUUUUACCUGCAGUCACAGCGCAGUGCAGGUGGGGAAAGAAGAAAUACUUGACAAAAGAAUGACCAAAGUGUUUUCAUAUUUGAUAAAAACUAAAGCUCUUUAUUGUAUCUUCUGUUCUUUGCAUCUAAGAGCUAUAUACUGUCAUUGGGAUAUUUAAAAAUACUCAUUCAUAUCAUUUCCUGUUAGCUUUAUUCUCACAAAACUCUAUUUGAGAAAGGCUACUUGAGAUCAACCACUAAAAGAACUUUACAUACAACGAAUGAGCCAGUAGUGAAGAUAAAAUGGAAUACUUGAAAGUGAUCAAUCUUGGAGACAGUAAAAGAAGAACAAGUAAAGUCAGAUGAGAAAAAUGGAAAACACAAAUCAAGAUGGUAAAUUUAAACCUAACCAUGUUGGUAAUUAUAUUUCAUGUAAAUUUUUCCAUACAGUGUAAUUAAGAAGCAGAGACUGUCAGAGUGCUUAAAAAAGUAAGCCUCAUUUAUAUGCUAUUUAUAAGAGACACACUUUAACACCCAGGGGUGCCUGGGUGGCUCAGUCUGUUAAGCAUCUGAUUCUCGAUCUGGCUCGGGUCACGAUCUCACAGUUUGUAGGUUCGAGCCCCGUGUCCGGCCCCACGCUCACAAUGCAGAGCCUGCUUGGGAUUCUCUUUCUGCCUUUCACACUCCAGCCCGUGCUCGCUCUUGCUCUCACUCUCUCUGAAAGUAAAUAAAUAAACUUAAAAAAACACGCACACACUUUAAAGAUACAGAUAGGUUAAAACGAAAAGGAUGGAAGAAGAUAAGCCGUGCUAACGGUAUGAGCUUAACAUCCCAUAAAACUAGGCUUCAGGACCAGGAAUCUUAACCAGUCAUGGAGAGACAUUUCAUCGUCAUGCAAGAGUGAAUUCAACAAGAUGUAAAAAUCCCGAACCUGCAAGCGAGUAUAAUAACACAACUUCAAAACACACAAGGCAAAAUUUCUUAGAACUAAAAGGAAAAAUAAAGAAAUCCGCUAUUUUUGCUGUAGAUUACAUAGUUGAUGGAGCAAAUGGAAAGAAAGUUAGUGGGGAUAUAGAAGACUUGAACUUCACUAUGAAGUAAGUUGACCUAAUGGAUCUUUUCAGAGAACUCUACCCAACAAUAGAAUUCACAUUCUUUUGAAGCUGUACAUGGAGUAUUCAUCAAAAUAGAAAUAUGGGAGGGGGGCCUGGGUGACUCAGUUGGUUAAGUGUCAGACUCUUUGAUUUUAGCUCAGGUCAUGAUCUCGCGGUUUGUGAGUUUGAACCCCGUGUCGAGCUCUGUUCUGUCAGCAUAGAGCUCACUUAGGAUUCUUUCUCUGUCCCUCCCCUGCUCGUGCUCUUUUUCUCUCUCAAAAUAAAUAAACAUUUAAAAAACCCAGAAAUCCCUAAAAUUCUAAAAAAAAAAAAAAAUUAGAAAUAUGGGAGUUAAAUAUAUAAACUAAAUCUCAAUAAAUGUUAAUUUAAAUUUGAAAGAUUGAAAUAAUACAUACUGUAUUCUCUUACCCCAACAGAAUUGAAUUAAAAAUCAGUAACUGAAAACUAUAUGGAAGUUUCCAAAUACUUGGAAAUAAAAGAAUAUACUUCAAAGUACACCUGACAGUCAGUGAAGAAAUCACAAGAGAAAUAGGAGAUAUUUUGAACUUAGUGAAAAUGAAAACAACAUUAAAUUUUAUGUGAGAAAGUAAUGCUUAAAGAGAAAUUACAGCUUUAAAAGCUUACAUUAGAAAAAAAGAAAGAUCUAGGACCAGUGAACUAAACCUCUAUUUUCAAUAGCAGGGAAUUAGUUUGCUAACUAACUUGAAUAUGAAAACAAAGAGCAGGGAAUUUAUUAGUGAAGAAGGACUAUGCGCAAACAAUACAGAAAACUCAAUAAAACCAGGGGCAAAAAGGGAAAAAAAAAUGUUUAACAGUGCUAGCUAACCUGAUAAUUAAGAAACAAACAAAAAAAGGAAGACCUAAAUUAUCAAUAUUCUGAUUAGAGGAUAGGCCAUCACUACAAAUCCUAUAGCUAUUAGAGGAUAAUAAAAAUAUCAUGCAUGACGUUAUGCCAAGAAAUUCACCAACUGGAAAGGCCUAUGAGAACCCAAACCUGAUACUAGAAGAAAUAGAAAAUCUGAAUACUUCUGUAUUUUUUUUAAGAGGGUGAAUUUGUGAUUAAAUGCUUUUCUUAAACCAAACGGUGGGCCCAGAUGGCUUCACUGAUGGAAUCUAUCAACCUUUUAAGGAAGAAACACUAGCAAUCUUACCUGAGUCCGUUCAGAAAACACAAGAGGGGAGAAUAGGUCUGGACUUAUUUUAUGAGGUCCUCAUUACUUUCUUGCCAAAUCAGAGAAAGGUGGCUAAAAGGAAAGAAAUCUACAGACUAGUAUCCCUCGUGAAGACAGAUGUUAUGAUUCCUAACAAUUUCAGCACAUCAGACCCAGUAAUCUGUAAACAGGUAAGUUGGGUAUGGGAGGUACACCCUCACAGGAGCCCCUGACGGAUGUGCAUUCAGGAACAUUACUGUGAGCGCUGGAAGGAGGGGCUGCGGGAGGGAGCUUCUGCUUCUCGGCACCGGGAGCCUGCGGCUGUAUUUCUCCUUGUGUCUUUUGCUUUCUUGUGUUUGAAAUGCCAGCGGGCUGGGGCUAGAGGCCGGGGAGUGGGGGGGUCAUGACUGACUCGGGCGUCACUGAUGUCACGCUACAUGGUAGGAGCUUGAAGACCUCCGUCUGGCCGUGCUCCUGCCACUUGUUUGUUGCACGCACCCUCGCUCUAUCACUUACCCACCCCGAUUAAAUUGUGUCAAAGCGUAUUAAGUGCCAGGGGCUGUUCUGGGCACCACAGAUCCAGUCCUCAGUCAGUCAAAAAUCAGUAAACCUCUAUAGCAAAUAAAAAGAAAUUUAGAGAAAGAUAAUACAUCACAACUAAGUAGGAUUUAUCUCGUUUGUGAAUCCGUAUAAUCAUAUAAACAAUAAAAAUUUGUAUGAUCAUCUCAGUAUUUGCAGGUAUGCAGCAUCUGACAGAGUUCAACAUUGAUUCGUGAUUUUUAAAAAGCUCUUAGUUAAAUUUGGGUUUCAUGAUAACUUUGUUCCAGUUUAGUCCAGACAUGUAUUCUAUCGAUGUCGAGAGGUAUCUCACUGCUUUUUGUUUCCAGUAUGUGACGUCUUUGGUAACCCAGGUGUCCCCUACCCUUCGUGCUCCCGCAGCCCGUGGGGUUUGGGUUUCCGUGAGGUCGGCAGUCUUGCAAAGUAGUGAUGCCCGUGUAUGAACACGUAGCCGCACUCACGAUCGCCUCUGGGGCCCGAAGCGGGGGUUCUGGCACCACCCCACAGACUCGGUGUGAGAAUUAAGUGAGCUUACAAAGCACCUAGAACAGGGCCAGGCACAUCAGAAGCGCUAGGUAAAUGUCCCCUUGCUGUUUUAUGAAUGCUCUUUCACAAGGCACCGUUAUUCUCAUGUAACUCUCCCUUGAUCACAUGGUACAGUUUUCAAAAAUGACUUCUGCUUCUCUCCCCCUACCUGUCACCACCCCUCAAAAAAAAAAAAAAAGGGAAGAAAAGAAAGAUUGGUAGAUGGGUAGGUUUCCUCAACAGCUUUUGUGGCUCAGCUAGACACAGAAAACCAUCGAAAGGCAGAGAGGAUUCAAAUCCUCCCUUCAGAGGAGAGGGACGGUGAAAAUAGUUACGUAAGCUGCCCCACAGUGCAGUCAGAUCACCCCCGUGCCGAGGGCCCUGUGCAGUAUCCCGAACUGUGUGCUGAACUGAAGGACAGCUCGGGGCCGUGGGCUUUUCAGGGAAGGAAGGAGGCUCAUUGGGAGUUUAUAUCAGUGGAAACCACAGCUUCUGGCUUUGUAGUGAACACACGGUCAGUGACUGACUUGUGUUCUGCACCCUCCAAUGACUCCUCUCAGAAACCCAGCCACUUUGUAAGUAGUACAGACCCAACAGGAGUAAGCGUACAGGCACUCGCGCCCCAGAAACCCCACCCCUGUGCCGCUGAAGGCCCUACGAGAGGAGAAAGUUCCCUACUGACACUGGAGCUAGCUACCAGAGCUCGCUGUCCAGUCCUGGUAGAGAGCCCAGCGCUCGGAUGUGUGUUCGUGUACUCUCGGCUCCGGGAAGCCUGUGCGGCUGCUCCGGAGGGACUGGCCGGAGCCAACGGGCUCUAUCUUGCAGAGGAGUCAUGGCGGCAAGGUCAUCCAGCCUCCUCCCCUGCAAGAUGAUGACACUGAUUUACUACAGAGGCCAAGUGGCAUCCCUCCGGGGACCUCAGCCCCGCCCCAGACUCUGGGGCCGCAUCCUUGCUCUUAGGCCACGGCAGGGAUGUCGACGGGCUCAUGGCCUUUCCAUGCGCUGAGGGAAGUUUCCAGUUUGUUCACGAAUAAUUUCUCUUUAUCAGGCCUUUCUGUGCCUUCGCAACUCCCGGAAGGGUGUGUUGGUGUGUAACCAGGAGUCCUCCCGGUGGGAAAUGUGGACGGACCCCUUUCUGAGUCGGAGGACACAGAGCCCCUGGGUAGCUAGUCCCACAUCCCAGCAGUGCACGGUCUGAUAGGACGCCGGGCAGGGACGGGCUGCAAGAGUAGAGAGUCUGCGACUCGGGAGACCCCGGAGCCCUCAAGUUCUCUUCCUCUUAGUGAGAUGAAAAUUAUGAGCGCUGUGUUCCAGAGAGAAGAAAACAUAAUGAAUAUGCCUUCAACAUUUUGUUUUAAGGUUUUGAACCACCAGUUUAGAGUCAAAUACUUGGAAAACACGGGACUGCAGCUAAUAAGUCACGCGUCCUGCAACUCCCUGGGGGUACGGGGGACUCUGCUGUGUGCAUGUGUGGAAACACCGAGGAGGAAGUUUCCUUGGUAUUCCCGAGCCCUACGCCAGACCUGGCAGAGAGUGAGAACUCUGAAAACAUCCUAAAUGUUUGCCAAGUGAUGCAGUGACCUUUAUGACCCUGACAGGGCUGUGGUGAUAAGACAGCUUCUCAAGGAGUGAGAGGAAUGUGCUCACCAGGACAGGCUGUGGGGGGCCAGUGGGGUGGUGGGAUUUCACAGGAUGCCCCGGAUCACCAGGGGGCGGGUGGCCACGCGCCGCCUGCUUUCUCUGGCGCCGGCUGGUCCUUUUAAAGCUUCUCUGCCCUUCACUCUGGACCUGGAGACCAUUUAUCUCCUCAGUUUUUUCUGUUU